Long non-coding RNA from Ornithodoros turicata, 2147 nucleotides. RefSeq lists it as uncharacterized. The transcript is spliced from 3 exons. NCBI's taxonomy places the organism in Eukaryota, Metazoa, Arthropoda, Arachnida, Ixodida, Argasidae. The record is from RefSeq and is a predicted model, not a curated record.
GCAAUGACGUCUGCCCGUCUACCCAAUCACCAUCCAUCAUCCAUCCAUCCAACCAGUUCGAACCAGUUCAGUUUCAACGGUUGAAACUUCAAACUUUCCGGACGCGCAACGGGUAGCAGUUGGGGUCUUCGCGGCUGCAUUCCACUGGUUGUUAUACGAAAAUCUUUCGAAGUUCUAAUAUCCCGCGCGUUUUGUCUUGCAAUUUUUGAGCAUAGCGAGAACGUACGCCGUGCUGUCCAGUGAUAAAAGCUGUUGAGCGCAGCAGAGCUCGCAGAGUACUGUGGUGGACAACGUUUCUUUGUUCUCUGGCUUUCAAGUUUAAGGGGUGCUUGGACUAUCUUGCAUCGGUGGAUAUGAAAAUAGUGGUAACAUACCCUACGAAACAGCUAUUUGCACAUAAGCUUAACAGUUCCCUGUGAGAUGCUGUGAAAGUCAGCAGGGAAGUGCGAUGUAGAAGAAACGACUGCCAGAAGCUUGCUAAAGAACCGCACAACAUGUGUGAGCAGCAGACAAAAUAUUCAUCAAACGGUACAAAACUAGUAUUUUUGUGCUUUGUCGUUUUGAGACAUCCUUGGUAUUGUAUGGAGAACAGCGUGACUAUGUCAUUCCGUCUUACUUCACCCAAACAGCUAUCUGGUAGUAGUGCAAGAUUUGAGUUCCUAAAAGGUUUAUUCACUGAAGUCACCUCAGCGCCAUACUAUAGGUCCCUCAAUGUUUAGUCCUUGCAUUUGUUCUCUGCAUUAUGCUUUUUAGGUGACUAUUAACACCAAAAAAUAUGGAAAUUGCUUGGAUAUUCUACAAAUCACAGAGCAACAAGUUUUAAACACCAGAUAUGCGGUGAGUAUAAUAUGGGUAACAGCUUGACUGAAAUCUACAAUAGGGUCGAGAUCUACCAAGGCCGAUGGCAGCAAAUCUGCCUGCUAGCGACAGUGGCGGUCUCCUGCGGAUGACGUCAUGUGAAUAAACUUGUAUACUACUUGUACGUACUUAUAAUGUUUGACGUGGUGAUACAGGUUUUGCUUUGUAUUGUCUUUUAUAAUAUACACAGUGUUUAUUUUUAUCCUGUACAGAAUUUUUGCACCAAAGUUAUGAGAGCAGCACAGAUGUUGUUUUAGCGUAAUGCAGUGAUGGAAGUGCUGCGCCAAUCAUGGAGUGCUUAGCAGUCGCCUGCUCGACCAGUUAAGGUUGUGUCACGAGAAAACGCCUGUCACAUUGAUGUACUUUAACAGCGACAGCUGUUACAUCCUCAUUUCCCUGAGAUCCUGGCAGCGUCCGCUAGAGCCCUGCGCAGAUAAGAUUUUUAGCAUCUGCGUGCACAUUAUCCGAUCCGCACCGUUGCAUACGCAACCGUUUAGAUCCGCAAGUUUCGAAGGACGCGUAAACACAGCCGGAAGAAUGUUGGUAUAAUUUCGGAUGCCUCCAUGCUCUCAUGGAAGGACUCACGCCAAAAUGCCUUCUCUCCUGUCUUGGCCGUGCAUGGUCAAAGGUGAACCCAGGCAUGCGCUCGCUGUCGGUGCGCAAUACAAAUAAAUUGCUAGUAGAAAAAUUACAGCAUGCGGUAUAUCCGCAUCUGACCUCGAGCCAUCCGAUCCGCACACUGCAGAAAGUGAUAAAUUCUUGUCCGAAUCCGCAAGUAUCUUACGGAUAUCCGCUUCCAUCCGCAGAUGGUGCAGGGCUCUAGCGUCCACAUCAGGUAGUGACGCGCAAACAGAUUUUCAGCUGUUGCUGCAAUUUGUGUUGUGUAGCUGUAACAGUUCUGUGAUUUUUGUACGUGCAGCUUCUUUUCUUUGUGUCUCUCAGAUCAGUGUUGAUACAGCUUUUACUCUUAUGUGGCCAGACAAGCAUCCCGUGAAAGAGUGUGCAUAGCCACUAAACAAACUAGUUAGAACUAGCAGGCUACAUGAUGCUUUCUGACAUGUUUUGUUCUAUUUUCUAGCCACAGUGAGUCAUUGGAGGCAGUGCUGCAGCACCAACAAUCACUCGUUGGAAGAAAGGAAUGAGGUGGCCAUCAACACCCUGCUGCCAGUUCAACACUCCUCAGUCAAAACACAAGACGCCUGUUUGGCGGCAAAGUCAAUCCAGUUUUAGACAGAGUUUUGUACCGUAGACUUCGUGUGUGGUUUACUGCAAAUAAAUGUUUAUGCUGA